ACCAGGAGAACAGCAGGUAUCUGCCGUUCCCCUAGUGGACACCAGGAGAACAGCAGGUCUCUGCCGUUCCCCUAGUGGACACCAGGAGAACAGCAGGUCUCUGCCGUUCCCCUAGUGGACACCAGGAGAACAGCAGGUAUCUGCCGUUCCCCUAGUGGACACCAGGAGAACAGCAGGUAUCUGCCGUUCCCCUAGUGGACACCAGGAGAACAGCAGGUCUCUGCCGUUCCCCUAGUGGACACCAGGAGAACAGCAGGUCUCUGCCGUUCCCCUAGUGGACACCAGGAGAACAGCAGGUCUCUGCCCCAAACAUUAGCAAACGGCUCCAUCUGGUGUUAAACAACAGAACGUCCAGUGUUGAAGCAGAGCUCCAGAUUA
Sebastes umbrosus (honeycomb rockfish) is the source of this 378-nucleotide long non-coding RNA. RefSeq lists it as uncharacterized. The record is from RefSeq and is a predicted model, not a curated record. Lineage: Eukaryota; Metazoa; Chordata; Actinopteri; Perciformes; Sebastidae. The transcript is spliced from 3 exons.